AUCUAAAUUGGCAUGAUAUGUUGCAAGCCAGUCCAUUCCUAAUAUAAUGUCGAAGUCGUGCAUAUCUAGAAGUAUAAGGCCUACUGGCAUUUUCCUGCUAGCUAUCUCUAUGAUACAGUCUCAACACAUUAUACGAGCCAUUAAGUCUUUGUUGUUGGGGGGUGGAGACUACUAGUGUGAAAUCUAGCGGUGUAUUAUCGACAUUCAGAUAUUGUGCACAACCAAAUAAAACAAAAGAAUGCAUAGAUCCUAGGUCUAUCAGGACUCUAGCCAAUAUACCAGAGACAGUAAGCAUACCUUGGAUUACGUCUUGAUAAACUUCAAUAUCUUUCUUU
Molecule: long non-coding RNA, 335 nt
Filed under: Carica papaya (papaya)
Lineage: Eukaryota; Viridiplantae; Streptophyta; Magnoliopsida; Brassicales; Caricaceae
Description: long non-coding RNA (CPAP_LNC008273)
Source: RNAcentral